This 207-nucleotide ribosomal RNA is filed under the name uncultured bacterium. RNAcentral describes it as "partial 16S ribosomal RNA". It matches the Rfam family "Bacterial small subunit ribosomal RNA", at positions 568 to 774 of the family's 1533-position model. The record is from RNAcentral.
CGCGUAGGCGGUUUGUUAAGUCGGAUGUGAAAGCCCCGGGCUCAACCUGGGAACUGCAUUCGAUACUGGCCGACUGGAGUGCGAGAGAGGGAGGUAGAAUUCCACGUGUAGCGGUGAAAUGCGUAGAUAUGUGGAGGAAUACCGGUGGCGAAGGCGGCCUCCUGGCUCGACACUGACGCUGAAGCGCGAAAGCGUGGGGAGCAAACA